Molecule: ribosomal RNA, 488 nt
Filed under: uncultured bacterium
Lineage: Bacteria
Description: bacterial SSU rRNA
Rfam family: Bacterial small subunit ribosomal RNA
Source: RNAcentral
ACGCGAAAAACCUUACCUACCCUUGACAUGUACGGAACUUGCCAGAGAUGGCUUGGUGCUCGAAAGAGAGCCGUAACACAGGUGCUGCAUGGCUGUCGUCAGCUCGUGUCGUGAGAUGUUGGGUUAAGUCCCGCAACGAGCGCAACCCUUGUCAUUAGUUGCUACAUUUAGUUGGGCACUCUAAUGAGACUGCCGGUGACAAACCGGAGGAAGGUGGGGAUGACGUCAAGUCCUCAUGGCCCUUAUGGGUAGGGCUACACACGUCAUACAAUGGCUGGUACAAAGGGUUGCCAACCCGCGAGGGGGAGCUAAUCCCAUAAAGCCAGUCGUAGUCCGGAUCGUAGUCUGCAACUCGACUACGUGAAGUCGGAAUCGCUAGUAAUCGUGGAUCAGAAUGUCACGGUGAAUACGUUCCCGGGUCUUGUACACACCGCCCGUCACACCAUGGGAGCGGGUCUCGCCAGAAGUAGUUAGCCUAACCGCAAGGG